This 383-nucleotide long non-coding RNA is filed under the name Arabidopsis lyrata. RNAcentral's name for it is "long non-coding RNA (ALYR_LNC003265)". Lineage: Eukaryota; Viridiplantae; Streptophyta; Magnoliopsida; Brassicales; Brassicaceae. The record is from RNAcentral.
AAUUACGUUGAAGGUGCAUUGUGUUUCAAAGACCAUGGAACUUGUUGAUAAUUACCCUCGGUGUGAAGACUCUCUCAAGACGGUUUUAUUACAGGACACAUGUACUGGAUUUUGCUUCUCUCUUCCAAAAAUCUUUUUUUUUGUCAAGAAGGGGAAGAAGAAUGAUCAGCAAUGCUUUGGAAAAAGGAAUUUAAAGUUAGCGUAUAAAUGAAAACAGGCCUUAAAGGAUUUGUUAGUCUCUUCACAAUUCCAUUUAGUAUCAUCAUAUAGUAUUUGGCACAGUGUUAGCAUCUUGUAUAUAAUCCCUCCAUCUUUUAGCAUUUUCAUCAGCUUUAUUAUAAAAGCUUUUUUUCGGUGUGAUCAUUGUUCUUUUAUCUCAUCGA